RNAcentral lists this ribosomal RNA (310 nucleotides) under uncultured bacterium. RNAcentral describes it as "partial 16S ribosomal RNA". It matches the Rfam family "Bacterial small subunit ribosomal RNA", at positions 503 to 807 of the family's 1533-position model. The record is from RNAcentral.
AAGAGACAGCAGCAGCCACGGGAAUACGAAGGGGGCUAGCGUUGCUCGGAAUGACUGGGCGUAAAGGGCGCGUAGGCGGAUUGUUUAGUUAGGCGUGAAAUUCCUGGGCUUAACCUGGGGACUGCGCUUAAUACAGGCAGUCUAGAGUGAGGAAGAGGGUUGUGGAAUUCCCAGUGUAGAGGUGAAAUUCGUAGAUAUUCGGAAGAACACCAGUGGCGAAGGCGACAUACUGGUCCAUUACUGACGCUGAGGCUCGAAAACGUGGGGAGCAAACAGGAUUAGAUACCCCUGUAGUCCCUGUCUCUUAUAC